RNAcentral lists this ribosomal RNA (154 nucleotides) under uncultured Pezizales. RNAcentral's name for it is "5.8S ribosomal RNA". The stretch from base 46 to 154 matches the Rfam family "5.8S ribosomal RNA", at positions 1 to 109 of the family's 154-position model. From Rfam's summary of the family: 5.8S ribosomal RNA (5.8S rRNA) is a component of the large subunit of the eukaryotic ribosome. It is transcribed by RNA polymerase I as part of the 45S precursor that also contains 18S and 28S rRNA. Functionally, it is thought that 5.8S rRNA may be involved in ribosome translocation. The record is from RNAcentral. Lineage: Eukaryota; Fungi; Ascomycota; Pezizomycetes; Pezizales.
AGCAGUCUGAGUUGGCCCAGUGCCAUAUUUUUUUGAAUGAAUUAAAACUUUCAACAACGGAUCUCUUGGCUCUCGUAUCGAUGAAGAACGCAGCGAAAUGCGAUAAGUAAUGUGAAUUGCAGAAUUCAGUGAAUCAUCGAAUCUUUGAACGCAC